CCUACGGGGGGCUGCAGCAAGGAAUUUUCCCCAAUGGGCUCACGCCUGAGGGAGCAACGCCGCGUGCAGGAUGACGGCCUUCGGGUUGUAAACUGCUUUUGGGGGGGACGACAUCGACGGUACCCCCCGAAUAAGCCCCGGCUAACUCUGUGCCAGCAGCCGCGGUAAGACAGAGGGGGCAAGCGUUGUCCGGAUUUACUGGGCGUAAAGCGUCCGCAGGUGGUUGGUCAAGUAGCAACUGAAAGCGCGGGGCUUAACUCCGCGUCGCGUCGCUA
Molecule: ribosomal RNA, 275 nt
Filed under: uncultured bacterium
Lineage: Bacteria
Description: partial 16S ribosomal RNA
Rfam family: Bacterial small subunit ribosomal RNA
Source: RNAcentral